Molecule: non-coding RNA, 72 nt
Organism: Podarcis lilfordi (Lilford's wall lizard)
Lineage: Eukaryota; Metazoa; Chordata; Lepidosauria; Squamata; Lacertidae
Source: the annotation of a GenBank genome assembly
AGAGCCAUAGCUCAGUGGUAGAGCAUCUGUUCUGCAUAAAGAAGGUCCCUGGUUCAGCCCCUGGUGUCUCCA